UCCCUUGGCAGUCCAGUGGUUAGGACUCUUGGCACUUUCACUGCCAAGAGCCUGGGUUCAAUCCUUGGCGGGGGAA
RNAcentral lists this transfer RNA (76 nucleotides) under Ovis aries (sheep). It matches the Rfam family "tRNA". Rfam says of the family: Transfer RNA (tRNA) molecules are approximately 80 nucleotides in length. Their secondary structure includes four short double-helical elements and three loops (D, anti-codon, and T loops). Further hydrogen bonds mediate the characteristic L-shaped molecular structure. tRNAs have two regions of fundamental functional importance: the anti-codon, which is responsible for specific mRNA codon recognition, and the 3' end, to which the tRNAs corresponding amino acid is attached (by aminoacyl-tRNA synthetases). tRNAs cope with the degeneracy of the genetic code in two manners: having more than one tRNA (with a specific anti-codon) for a particular amino acid; and 'wobble' base-pairing, i.e. permitting non-standard base-pairing at the 3rd anti-codon position. The record is from Rfam by way of RNAcentral. Lineage: Eukaryota; Metazoa; Chordata; Mammalia; Artiodactyla; Bovidae.